Pelobates cultripes (western spadefoot toad) is the source of this 250-nucleotide non-coding RNA. Lineage: Eukaryota; Metazoa; Chordata; Amphibia; Anura; Pelobatidae. The record is from the annotation of a GenBank genome assembly.
CCUGGCACUUGGUACUGUGUUUGGACAAGCAGGGUUAGGCUCUUGGUUUGGUUGAGUUCUGCGAAGUUCACCAGGUAUAUUCCGCUGUCAUUUAGAUGCAAGUCGCUGAGAAGUAAGGAGGCGGUAUCUGGUAAGAAUGUUACUCUCUGCCGGUACUCCUCCACCGCUAUACUAUAUUCGUGGCAUAGCCUGGGAGGAGAGGAAAAGAUGGACGGAUCACUGUGACAGCGAAUCAUUUCUGCAAAAAGAA